AACGUAGGUACCGAGCGUUAUCCGGAUUUACUGGGCGUAAAGCGCGUUCAGGCGGCUUAGCAAGUCGGGCAUGAAAUCUCUCGGCUCAACCGGGAGGGGCUGUCCGAUACUGCUGGGCUUGAGGGCAGUAGAGGGUGGUGGAAUUCCGGGUGUAGUGGUGAAAUGCGUAGAGAUCCGGAGGAACACCAGUGGCGAAAGCGGCCACCUGGACUGUACCUGACGCUCAAACGCGAAAGCUAGGGGAGCGAACGGG
RNAcentral lists this ribosomal RNA (253 nucleotides) under uncultured bacterium. Its description in RNAcentral is "partial 16S ribosomal RNA". It matches the Rfam family "Bacterial small subunit ribosomal RNA", at positions 524 to 776 of the family's 1533-position model. The record is from RNAcentral.